UACAGAGGUCUCGAGCGUUAGGCGGAAUCACUGGGCUUAAAGCGCGUGUAGGCGGUUCGGUAAGUCCGCUGUGAAAGUCGGGGGCUCAACCCUCGGAAGCCGGUGGAUACUGUCGAGCUAGAGUACGGAAGAGGCGAGUGGAAUUCCUGGUGUAGCGGUGAAAUGCGCAGAUAUCAGGAGGAACACCAAUUGCGAAGGCAGCUCGCUGGGACGUUACUGACGCUGAGACGCGAAAGCGUGGGGAGCAAACAGG
This 253-nucleotide ribosomal RNA is filed under the name uncultured bacterium. Its description in RNAcentral is "partial 16S ribosomal RNA". It matches the Rfam family "Bacterial small subunit ribosomal RNA", at positions 524 to 776 of the family's 1533-position model. The record is from RNAcentral.